CUUAAAUGUGACCAUGAGGGAGACAUGUGGCCUUGACCCUAUCCUUGACCCUCACGUAGUUUGUGCCUCAUUCUCCCUGGAACCCAGGAACUGGUAGCAGUGCUGUCUAGUUUUGCCUGCAAACUCCUUAAUAUUGCCAUAAUAUCAUCUUACCACUGAUGCUGCAGAAAAUGAGACAGUCAUGUUUUGUCUUCAGAUUCUUCCUUCAAACCCAGAAUUGCAGUCUUCAACAUAUUCACAUGGCUUUGGUGAAACUGGUUUCACAAACACUGCAAAAAUCAGUCUCCUCAUGCCUGCCAUCUCCUAUUAUUUCUUGGGCCAAUGGAGAGGUGGUUUUCCCUCCUGUUUCUGCAAUGGCUUGGUGAUGGGAAGCCUACCCCAUCUGAUAUCUAUCUUC
Long non-coding RNA from Vidua chalybeata, 397 nucleotides. RefSeq lists it as uncharacterized. The transcript has 4 exons. Lineage: Eukaryota; Metazoa; Chordata; Aves; Passeriformes; Viduidae. The record is from RefSeq and is a predicted model, not a curated record.